This 254-nucleotide ribosomal RNA is filed under the name uncultured bacterium. RNAcentral's name for it is "partial 16S ribosomal RNA". It matches the Rfam family "Bacterial small subunit ribosomal RNA", at positions 524 to 776 of the family's 1533-position model. The record is from RNAcentral.
UACGUAGGGUGCAAGCGUUAAUCGGAUUUACUGGGCGUAAAGGGCGCGUAGGCGGCCACUGCAAGUCAGUUGUGAAAUCUCCGGGCUUAACCCGGAAAGGUCAACUGAUACUGCAGGGCUAGAGUGCAGAAGGGGCAACUGGAAUUCUCGGUGUAGCGGUGAAAUGCGUAGAUAUCGAGAGGAACACCUGCGGCGAAGGCGGGUUGCUGGGCUGACACUGACGCUGAUGUGCGAAAGCUAGGGGAGCGAACGGG